This 7450-nucleotide long non-coding RNA is filed under the name Gossypium barbadense (sea-island cotton). RNAcentral describes it as "long non-coding RNA (GBAR_LNC011344)". Lineage: Eukaryota; Viridiplantae; Streptophyta; Magnoliopsida; Malvales; Malvaceae. The record is from RNAcentral.
CGAUAGCGUAGACUUGACAAUGUGAUAAUAUCUUUGACGGCCUCCAACCCGAGCUAACCUGGCAACACUAGGGAAUAUGGGAAAGGAAAGGGGAGUAAGCUUUACGCUUAGUAAGUUCAUAAGAAAACAAUAAGCAACUCAUUAACAAGUUUUAUCAAUGUUUACAACAUAAUCACAAAUUCACUACAAGUUGUCUUCCUGAGCAAUAGUCACUAAAUUAUUUAUAACUGGAGCUAAAAAACUCCAAAUCAAUUGCCGUUAAUUUUCCCCGAAAAUAGACUCAUAUAUCUUCCAUCUAUAAAAUUUUCAGAAUUUUAGGUUUGGCCAAUCAAUACUAGAUUUUUAUUCAAAUUUCCCCUAUUUCACUGUUUGAUUAAUCUCACCACUCCUCACUCCGAAUCAAAUUUCUCAUUCUACAGAAUUCAAAAUAUGUUCUAUUUGAUUUCAUUUGAAACUAUACUCAUUAAGGAGUCUAAGCAUAUAAAUUUUAUCUUAUAACCAUUUUUGUACAAAUUAUAAUGAUUUUCUAAAAACAGAACAGGGGACCCCGAAGUCAUUUGACUCUAUCCCACGCCACUUCAAAUAUCUCAUUAUCAGCAAUUCUUUUGCUUACACAGUUUCUUUUAUAAGAAACUAGACUCAUUAAGCUUUAAUUACAUAAUUUAUUCAGCUUCUAACUCAACUCCAACAAUUUAUGGUGAUUUUCCAAAAUCACGUUACUACUGCUGUCCCAAGCAGAUUUAUUACAAAUUUACUCUUUCACACAUUCUUUGCAUUCACAUUAUUUAAACAUGUAUAUCACCUAUCAAUUUCAUCACAUAUCUAUAAUUUCACUCAAGCAUAAUAUCAAUACAAUACAUCAUGCUCAAUGAUUCGCACACAAUCGCACAAUCGUUCAAAUUAGCAAUUAUAAGAUGAUUCCGCACAUAGUCCACCCUUAUCGAUAAUUUACGAUGGUUUUGCCCUUACUCACAUAUAUGACAUAGGCAUUUUCACAUAUGCUUCUCAUUUCACACUCAUGAUUCAAUUCCAAUUGAUCUAACAUGCAUAAGAAUAUAUCACAUACCUGGCCAACAUAAUGUAUUGAACAAAUUCAAUUGUCGAUUUAACACAAGGUCUCAUAGUCUUAGACUUUUAUCAAAUCACCGGCAUUUAGCCUGCUAGGUUUUAAACCCGAUAAUAUUAUUCACCAGCUUAAAGCUUGCUAGGCUCAAAGCCCAAAUAUCACCAUUAUAAAGUCGUCUCAUAAGCAAUUUAUAUAAUAUAGCAUGUAUACCUGUUCACUUUGCUCUAUUUAAUCAUUCAAUCACAAUUUAUAAUUUCCCUUUGAAUCAUUCGAUAUUUUGCACACUAAGUGUCAUUCUGAAUAUCUCGCACACUAAGUGUCAUUCUCAAUAUUUCGUACACUAAGUGCCAUUCUCAAUAUUUCGUACACUAAGUACCAUAUUUGAUUGCCCCGCACACUAAGUGCCACAUUUUGUCGAUAUGUCAUCAGACGUUAAAAUAUUCACGUAUAUACAAUUUAUACGAUAUUAAAGCAUUAGAAACAUAAAUUUAACAAUGCUUAUUGCAUACAAACUUACCUCGUUCGCGGUAACGAUAAAUUAGAUCGACGAAUCCGAUACUUUGUUUUUCCCUCGAUAUAGACUCGUACGAGGCUUAACUUGAUUUAAUCAAUCAAAUUCAACUAUUACAAUUCAUAUUCUAUUCAUUUUAACUCAAUUUCAUAUUUUGGUAAAAUUACUAUUUUACCCCUAAAGUUUUACUUUUAUAAAAUUUAGUCACUGAGCUCAAAAAAAUGCAAAUUAACUAUUUUUAACCAUAAUUAAGCUUAACCGAAUAUUCAUGGUAUUAAAACAGCCCAUAAAUUACUUUAUGGCAAAAUUACAUUUUUGCCCCUGAUAUUUCAACUUCUUUACAAUUUAGUCCCUAAGCUCGAAAAAUUAAAUUCAUUCAAUUUUUUGGCCAAACCCAUGCCUAGACAAAUUUACUACUACUUCAUAACAUCCCAUAUUUUCAUUUAUUCACACUUUCAACCACAUAAUUUCAAUAAUUCACAAUUUAAUACAAAAUUGACAUUUUUACCAAAAUUCACUUUACAAAACAUGUAUAUCCAACAACAAUAAUUUAUUUUCCAUCAUCAACUAUCAAAAUACUCAUGCACUCAACAAUGGCAACAUUCAAAUACUUUAACAGUUUUGAAAUCAGAGAUACGGGCUAGCUAGAAUACGAAGCAACGAUCUCAAAAACAUAAAAAUUAUCAAAAACCGAACACAAAACAUACCUAAAUCACUUCAUGCAAAUGCCGAAACUAAGGAAGCUUCAAUGGCUUUCUUUUCUCCUCCAUAUUCGGCCAAGAGAUAAAAUUUGCAUGGCCAUUUUAUGUUUUAUUUUUAUUUAAUACAUUUUAAUAUUCCAUUUACCUUUUUGUCCUUUAUAAUAAUACAUAAUUUCAUAUAUGCCAAACCACCAAUCUCCACUAUCAUAAAGUAAUGGUUUAAUUGAUAAAUAGGGACUUAUACUUUAGUAAAUCAUGGAAAAUAAACACUUAAACAAUUAGAAUGUAACUUUUUCAUUUUACGCGAUUUAGUUCUUUUUGCUUAAUAAACUAUCGAAACGGUAAAAUUUUUCAACGAAACUUUAAUACCAUCUUUUUGCCACUCCGUAAAUAUUUAUAAAAAUAUUUACGACUCGGUUUAUAUAAAUGAGGUCCCGAUACCUCAUUUCCUAAACCCACUUGACCUUAGGGUCAUACCACUUGAACUUAAUAAAUCACUUAUAAAACAAAUAUCACAAUAUCAAAAACAUUUUUAAAAUCACAAUUGACUAGUAAAUAUUAAAUAUAAUAUUUACAAACCUACUCGUCGGAUUUGGUGGCCCCGAAACCACUGUUCCGAUUAACCCUAAAAAUGGGCUGUUACAACUCUUCCCCCCUUAGGGAUUUUCGUCCCUGAAAAUCUUACCAAAGAAUAAAUUAGUGAUUUUCUUUCACCAACCUCAACAAUUUUUCACCUAGCCUCAGAUUUCUCAACUUUUCAAUCUCAUGAGCUAAGAUUAUGAUCUGCUCUUUGCUAUACAUCAUAACAAGCUGAGCUCCUACUUCUGUAAGAGAUACUAUAGAUAAAGGAUCUUAUUUGUAUCAUCACAUCAUAUAUAUAAGAAACACAUUACGGUUCUUCUCAAGUUCUGAUAAUAAUCUCAUUCAGUCCGAUGAAUUGCGAACUCAACUUCUCUUUAUAGCUAAAUCGAGAAAUUCUAUUCCCACUAUAAUACUUUCACAAAUACUCAAUUUUCUAAUUGAAAACUCAAUGUUUUACGCAUCAAGCCCACAUAUAUUUUCUGUAAAUCUGAAACUAUUUUUAGACGGUCAUGAAUUACUUUCAUUUCCCUUCAGUCUUCCCAAUCACAUCGACCCCGAAAUUCUUUUUAUAAAAAUUCAAUUCAAUACAACGAAGUUCAGUAAUUGCAACCAUACCACACUCAUACAAUGCUAUCUUAACAUUCAUCUCAUAACUAUUAUUAUUAUAUGCAAACUUAACGAACAAUAAAUGUCUUUCUCGGUUGCUUUCAAGUUCUAGAACACAGUGUUACAAAGUAAUUCCAUACCCAAAGCUCAUAGUAGUUUAUUUUAGUAACACGAUAUAAUCCUCGUGUCUCCAUUUGAACAAUGAAAACUAGCACUCUUUUAGUACUCCCCAUACGGACAGAUAAUUACCACUGUGCUGAUGUCAGAAUUGUUGUAAAAUCUCUGGAUUUCUCAAUACACAAACUCUAUCUCGACAUAACGAACAAUUGUAGGUUCCAAUCUGAAAUUCUAAAUCAGAAAUCAAUUUACGUUGUAUCUUUUUUAACUUGUAAUUCACUGACACACCUCUUAACCUCACAAAUUUGCUAAAUAAACAUCAAUUUAGUUUUUAGCUCAGCCAAUAACUACUCAUCAUUUGAUAAGAUUAAUCACAUGAUUAUCAGCCGUAAAACACAUAAAGAUUCUCGCUCAGAACCCCAGAGACUAUAAUCAUUGGUCCAGAUUGAUAAUCAAUCGCUGACUCAUAAUCUUUCAACAGUUCAAACCAUCUUUAAUUCUUUUGUCAAAUAACUCUUCACCUGAGAACUGACGCUUCAAUUAACAAUUUCUUCAACUGUUUACCACUUUAUUGAUAAUUAUCACAUCAUUCAGACUUCCCAAUCGCGAUCUAUAAGAACAUUUCUCAAUAAAAUUGUUCUGAUGGAUAUAAUUCUGUACAUAUCUUCUAGAAUAUGAAUCAUGCAUUCAGAAUAUUCAUCUAUUUAUCCGUGAACAUUCAAACUUUAUUUCCACCCUGUGGAUAAAUUCAGAUACAAAUACCUCGAUUAAUCCUUCAAGCAAUUAAUCUAAUCAAGCUAGACAACUGAAUCGAUCUCGACUGUCAAGUAACAACUUUUCAAUUAUUAAUCAACAAAGCUUUGAACCAUACUGAAGCCACAACCAUCAGAUAAUUUAAAAUCAUAGUGCCAUAAUAAGGCUGACAUCUCAACCGUAUAGAUAUAUAAUGUCCCAAUUAUCAAUAAUGCAUUUUGAACAUAAGAGAAAUUGAAAUAUAGUUACAGUCAUUUAAUAGAUAUUUUUCACAGAUAACCAUAUAGAAUCAUAAGAAAGCAAAGAUACUGUAAUUCUCGAAUAUAUCACUAUACUAAUCUUUUUUUUUAAGAAAGCACCCAUAUCAGAUGACAAAUACCUCAAUGAUGUUUCAGAGGAAAUCCAGAAGUAAAGCAUCACUCAUAUGCACCGGAAUCAACAGUAACAGACAUAAUAUAAUCUUCAUGUAUACUAAGCAGAUCAACAACCAGUAGGAGCAGAAUACCAACAUCAUACAGAUUUAAUCGUCGAUCUUUUCUUUCAAUAAAAUGAAAUAGAAUACCAGAGAAAGAUAUAGUAAUGCUGAUUGUAACCCGAACAGCCCAACAAUGCUUUCAUAUAUCAAUAUAUAUAGAUAACGUUCUCAUAUGAUAAGAAUUUCAUCUGAAAAUAUACAGCUUCACAUACCUCUGAGGAUAAUUGAACACAUAGAAUACCCAGAAGAGUUCUCGUAAACCAUUCGACUAUAAUUGAUGUGCUCAAAUAUCUUUAUAAUUCAAAUAUGAUUCUACUCUCUAUCUCUGACAUCACUAAUUUCUCAUUAUCCCAACACUAAUGGAGGCCAAUUCGGAAGAACUUCCAGUUAAUAUAUUUUUUAAAUAUCAUACCUGAAUAUUUGGUUUCAUCUAAUUCAACUUUUCUUUUAAUAGUGACUUUACAUAUUACAAAUGGCCUUCAACACGAUCCAAUAUCUUUUCUGUUACUGUCUUCACUUGCGGACUCAUUCUCUUAUCUGAUCACAAUACUAAUCCUUCAAUCACGAGACUCUGUCAUUCCGCACUUGUAAGCUUAUUUAAGCCAUAUAGUACGGAUCUCAUUAUAAUGCUUUACCAAUGAGGGGGUGAGGGUUGUAAAGCCAACAAUUUUAACUCUUACGUAAGCAUGCACAUCACACAUACUAUUAUGAACGAACAGUUCAUUACUAAUUCCGCAUUCUCAAACAUCUAGCAAUCAUUUACUUAUGAUCACUUGGUACUUAACACAUAGCUCAUACGCUAAAUCAAAUCAUAAAUUCCAAAUCAAAAUAUUCACACAACAAUCAUAUACCCAACAUCACAACUCAUAUACUCAUAUAAUUAUAACAUUUACCAAUAGCAGAAUAUCAUGCAUUCUGAUUCAUACCUUUUUAUGAGUUUCAACUCAUCACCAACACAUUUUCACUCAAACGUUUGAGUAUAACAUUCUGUACUAUCAGAAUUAGCUCGGUUGGAAAGCAUAUCUGUCUUAUGAAAAACACACAGAAUAAGCUUUGAAAGCUUAGUAAGCCUUAAGCAAAUAAAUCAUUUCAAUGAUUAUGAAAAUUCCAUAUCACUAAUCCGAAUUGAAAAAUAAUCUCAAUUGCAUAUACAUUCAUAGUACUCUUAAGUUCAUAUAACCUUAUUAAAUAGCCUCACUUAUUUAUAUUUAUUAAUAACUUACGACUAUGAUUUUAAAUUCGUGUGAUAACUGUCAAUUCAUUCGUAUGAACAAAACUUGCACAUAUCCAAUACAUACCAACCAAAACAUGUCAUAUUUUUCCCUGUUUGAUUCAUGGAACCACAAGGUCACAUGUCAAGCACAUAUAGCAUAUAUUUAUCUGUUAUUUAUCACGUCUCAUUUUCACAUAGACUACAUACAUCUGACCAAGUUUAUUCAAUAUCGAUGCCACUGUCUCGGACAGGGUCUUACACGAAUCAUAAGUGAUGCCAGUGUCCUAGACACGUUCUUAUACACUACUUCAAAUCAAUGCCUUCAUCUUGGCCGAGGUCUUACAUGAUCUCAUUUCACACACUUAGUGCCCCAACAACCGAUCUUGCACAGACAGUGCUUGGUUACGGAACUCGCACACACAGUGCCUUAACAAUCGAUCUCUCACACACAGUGCUCGGUUACAGAACUCGCAUACAAAGUGCCUCAACAACCGAUCUCGCACACACAAUGCUCGAUUACGGAACUCACACACACAGUGCCUAUGUUCACUUGUUGUUGCACAUUGAAGUGACUUAACCAAGUCUAUAAAACAUCACAUAUGUGCACUUUGAAUAUAUCAUUUCAUUUAACUUUGGAUUCAUAUAUUCAUGAACACUUAAACAUUUCAGAGCCAACUUUAAUUUAAUCAAAUCAGUAUAGAACACAAUUUCAUUCGAACAUCUGAGUACAUAUUCUAUACUAUUAAAAUUAGCUUCAUUGAAAGACUUAUCUGUCCUAUUCAAAAAAUUUUGGUCAGAGUCAGGAGAUAUCACACUAUCGCAGGUCAAAUAUGGCAUGUACAGCUAGACUCACAUACGCCAUGGUAGUCCUAGAACUGACUAAACCAUGGCUCUGAUACCAAUAAAAUGUAACACCCUUCACCUGUAUCCCUUGUCGGAACAGGGUUCGAGGUGCUACCAGAUUUAAACUCAUCCAUUUAUAUAAAACCAGACCGUAAAAUUUUUUGAUCAAUUUUAAACUUUUCAUAUACACGUAUAUUAUCCUUUAAUCGGGCUUACAAGGCCCAAAAUAUUCAUGAGGCAUUAUUAAAUAUUUACCAAUAUCUUAGUCUUGUAUCAUUUACUUACUCAACUUUACAACCCUAUACAUGCCAUAGACUCGAAACACUAAGAUUUAUUUAUGCCGAUAGUGUAGACUUGACAAUGUGAUAAUAUCUCUGACGGCCUCCAACCCGACCUAACCUGGCAACCCUAGGGAAUAUGGGAAAGAAAAGGGGAGUAAGCUUUACACUUAGUAAGUUCAUAAGAAAACAAUAAGCAACUCAUUAACAAGUUUUAUCAAUGUUUACAACAUAAUCACAAAUUCACUACAAGUUGUCUUCCUGAGCAAUAGUCACUAAAUUAUUUAUAACUAGAGCUACUAAAC